GUGAGUCUUAGCUUCUCUCUGCAUCUGUGAGGUCAUCUCCCUUUCUGUAGAGCAUAUGAUCUUUACUGAUGCACCUGCAUCUGGCUCAGACUUAGUCACCCAGCCCUGAAAUUAUAUCAUAUCACAGGUCAUUCUCUGAGUCUCUUAAUGUGAGGCCUUGAGAGAAAAAUCAACAUGCCUUCUGUUGGAUGAAGACCAAUCAGCAAGAUGGUGGUGAUUGUGAGUCGUUGCAAGGAUCAAGUGAGUUGAAAUCCGUAAGGUGCUUGGGAGAAUGCCUGGCGCCUGGAAGCACUGUAUAUUCCAAAAAAGGAGAUAUAAACAUGACCAUAAAAGACAUGAAAAGAUGUUUAACCCCAUUAGUCAUCGUGGAAAUGCAAAUGAAAACCACCAUACAGACACUAGAGUGGUUUAAAUUUGAAUGACUUCCAACACCAAAUGCCAGACAGGACAUAGAGCAACUGGAUGUCUCAUGCUCACAGGCAGAAGGGAAAACUACUGUGUGUGACAGGAAGAUGGACUUACCCAACCUUCAGCAUUCUCAAUCUCUUGUCUAUUAACAUGGUAAUUGCCUUUAAUGACUUUGUUCUCCUCGGUGUAAUCAGACAGGAAACUUUAGAGGGAAAAUGCAUAAAUUAUUCUAACCCCUGCCAGGGAAAGAAUCCAGACUUUAAUCAACUUCUGUGCAUUUUAUUCUUCAUAUUAAAAAAGCUUUCUUUACA
RNAcentral lists this long non-coding RNA (719 nucleotides) under Homo sapiens (human). Its description in RNAcentral is "uncharacterized LOC105374645, transcript variant 6 (LOC105374645)". Lineage: Eukaryota; Metazoa; Chordata; Mammalia; Primates; Hominidae. The record is from RNAcentral.